AAGAUUUUAGUUUAUAAAAAAAAUAUUAAUUUUGCAUUUUAAAGAAUUAAUCUUA
This 55-nucleotide transfer RNA is filed under the name Bursaphelenchus mucronatus. Its description in RNAcentral is "tRNA-Ala". Lineage: Eukaryota; Metazoa; Nematoda; Chromadorea; Rhabditida; Aphelenchoididae. The record is from RNAcentral.